UUAGCUCUCUUUGCCUUUUGGCUUAGAUCAAGUGUAGUAUCUGUUCUUUUCAGUUUAAUCUCUGAAAGGUCUCAAAUGAGACCCUUAUUGAUUAUUCUUAUUUUUGGUCUUCGGGUCGUUUCCUCUGUGCUUGCGCAUGAUCCAACCCACAGUGUCCCUGGUAUUACACUGCCUCCAGGCGACGCGAACUCUU
RNAcentral lists this small nuclear RNA (193 nucleotides) under [Torrubiella] hemipterigena. RNAcentral describes it as "Torrubiella hemipterigena U2 spliceosomal RNA". It matches the Rfam family "U2 spliceosomal RNA". Rfam says of the family: U2 is a small nuclear RNA (snRNA) component of the spliceosome (involved in pre-mRNA splicing). Lineage: Eukaryota; Fungi; Ascomycota; Sordariomycetes; Hypocreales; Clavicipitaceae. The record is from Rfam by way of RNAcentral.